This 1856-nucleotide long non-coding RNA is filed under the name Daphnia magna. Its description in RNAcentral is "uncharacterized LOC116929322". The record is from RNAcentral. Lineage: Eukaryota; Metazoa; Arthropoda; Branchiopoda; Diplostraca; Daphniidae.
ACUGUGUAGUCAGGUUUAGUGAAUCUUCAGAGAAUUCCCCGGUUUUCCCCUAGAGAAAAUAAAAAGCUGGUUUAUUUUCCUCUGAAUUCUUAGUAACCUUCGAAUCAGUCUUUUUAAAGAUAAUUUAAAGUGGGAAAAAAAAAGUAUUAAUAACUUCAAUAUUGGCGCAUCUCGGAUUUAGAUCUAAAAACAAGUGCCAAUUGGCGGCAACUCAAGUUCGCAUCCGCGUCUUUUCUGUUGACGUAGACACAUUUUACCUGGAAUAAUUUCAGAACGCUUCAUUUGUCCUUAUCAAAAACGGACGUGGCAGAUUAGCGUGGCGUCAACAUGUGGCGACAUCCAAAUUUUCUUGUGUUAUAAAAUGGCACCAUUUCAUUUCCUCUAUCAUCGGAUUUCAGUCUUAUCACGUGAGGUCACUAAGAUCGUGUGGUUGCAUUACAGAAUAGGUUUCCUUGAGCUUUAUACUACAACUGUGUCAGACCUGUUCAUUCAAGAAGAUGAAGAUCCACCCCUAGAUAUACCUCGUUACAUAAAUCCAAGGAUGUUGUGGACUUGGAAUCAUCGUUCUAUUUUUUUCUCUCCUUUUAAACUUUGCUCAGACAGCACAAAGUUUUGAUCCGGAAGGGGGCGAGUCAAGGGCGCGUAAUACGAGAUGGAAACAAAGUGCAAAAUAUGUAAAAAUGAAAGAAAAAAAAAUAAGAUGAAAGUUCAUAGUCCAAGAGAUCAUACUGUCUCUGCUUCUCGAGAACUGGUCCAUUAAAAAAAAAAAAAAGAGAAAAUAUCAUUAAUACACCAGAUAAAAGUGUAUGUUGUUUAGUGACUGUUCUGAUCGGAUUCCGUUCGUGGGAAUACUUUGGCUGGUCAAAUUUCUGCUGUGGAAGACAUCAGGCCACCAUCACGCCAUGUAUGUUGAUUUUUUUUUUUGCUUGCGCUAUGUGAAGUCGUCGCCUUACCGUAACGUGGCUGUUACGGUCGUUGAAACAGAUAAAGAAACACGGAGAGAUAGCCGCUAGAAAAGAAAAUAACACCUUUCACUCCCAGUACCUCGUUUUAGAACACAGUCGACACGACUCGGUUUGCAUGGCAUUAACCUUUUCUUUCAAACUGGACUCAGUGGACUGGUUCCGUGUUCUGACAGAAGCGGGCGGAACAAAAAGACAGCCAAAACCUGAAUUACUGGAUUUGAGGAAAUUAAAAUGACAUGAAUUUUUAAAAACGUCAAUGCUUACCUACCAAAUUCAGGAAACCCCACAAAGGAUUAUACGUUAUGUUGCACUUACUACUUAGUCAACAUUUUCGUUCCUCGGAAACAAACUAAAAGGAUCUCUUGAUGUUGAUACGACGAAAACGAUACACUGGGUGCACUGUAUGACAUGACCUAUUGCAUAAAAUGCUUGGUCAGAUUCCGCGAUCUAACAGGAAGGAAAACAAAAAUUAUAGGUUUUAAGUAUUUUAAAUCUUAUAAUAACAACGUGUUCAAAGGCCAACAUCAUUUUGGGUCUGAAGGAUGACUGCAGUUGCUGACAGUCGUUAGAAUUGUGUCCUUGGGUAUCAAACUUCCAACAAUACAAAGAUUUAUAUAACAAAGUCCCUCGCUCACCCUGCCCAUCAAGAGCAGCACUAAAAAUACCUGAAAUUAAGCUUACCAAUGACUAAAAGUAACAUUUUGUCGGGGAGUUUCAAGGUUGUUUCAGACCCGCGGCAAGAGCGGAUCUUCAAUGCAAACGGGGUUUGUCCGAUGGAUCACCUUUGUCGACAUUACAUCCACUUUUCAGGAAGGAAAGCGUGUGCAAUAAUCAUAUCCAACGCCCAAGCCAAACACCUUUGAAAUGACUUUAUAAUAAAAGUUUUACAAU